GAUGAAGAACGCAGCGAAAUGCGAUACGUAGUGUGAAUUGCAGAAUUCCGUGAACCAUCAAAUCUUUGAACGCAUAUUGCGCUCGAGGCUUCGGCCGAGAGCAUGUCUGCCUCAGCGUCGGUAUUACCCCUCGCUUCUCAACCCCUGGUUGAUGCCUGCCUGCCUUUGCAGUUGGCUAGAAGCGGAUCUGGCUUUCCCAAUUGCCUUUGGUAGUUGGGUCAGCUGAAGAACAGAGGCUUGAGCAAGGACCCUUAUUGGGCUUCAACUGGAUAGGUAGAACUGGUCUUAGGACCAACUACACGAAGUUGUUGCUUGUGGUCGUUGUCUGGAGGCCAGCAGGAAACCUUUAUACCUUCGACCUGAGCUCAGGCAAGAUUACCCGCUGAACUUAAGCAUAUCAAUAAGCGGAGGA
This 412-nucleotide unclassified non-coding RNA is filed under the name soil metagenome. RNAcentral describes it as "partial contains 5.8S ribosomal RNA, internal transcribed spacer 2, and large subunit ribosomal RNA". The stretch from base 1 to 120 matches the Rfam family "5.8S ribosomal RNA", at positions 35 to 154 of the family's 154-position model. The record is from RNAcentral.